Molecule: long non-coding RNA, 514 nt
Organism: Mustela lutreola (European mink)
Lineage: Eukaryota; Metazoa; Chordata; Mammalia; Carnivora; Mustelidae
Exons: 2
Source: RefSeq, a predicted model, not a curated record
GCUACCGGCGAGGAGGCUGCGGCGUCCUCCGGCCGCCCUGGCGGGCGCUCGGGCCUCUUGCCCCGGCCCCGGCCCCGGCGGCUCGCCCGCCGAAGGGCUUGGGUUUGCUUCGCCCCAACAGACAAGAAGCCUGAGGCUUGACCGAAAUCAGCAAAUAUUUGGUGAGAACAGCCAGAACCAGAAGCCAGGACUGACAAAUGCUAAAGGAAAUGGAAUUCUCCCUACGCAACAGUGCUGGACCUGCCCGAGAGCUCACACCAGCUGGUGCUUACACUAGUAGGCCUUUUGUGUGUCAUCUGCCUGGAGGGAUCCUGUGGACCCCGCUGACCUUGGGGGAGCUUGUGGCCAUGUAUGAAUGCCCACUCUCAGCCCUGAUCAACACUUGACCCUCAACACGGGGUCUGCAAUCUCAUGAAGGUGCUAAAUCCUGACUCACUGAUUGGAUCUAGCCUGUAAAUCAGAGCCCAAGACACUUAGGGAUCAGUAAGUGUCUCAUUUAAAUGGAGAAACAAGA